RNAcentral lists this transfer RNA (72 nucleotides) under Camelus bactrianus (Bactrian camel). It matches the Rfam family "tRNA". From Rfam's summary of the family: Transfer RNA (tRNA) molecules are approximately 80 nucleotides in length. Their secondary structure includes four short double-helical elements and three loops (D, anti-codon, and T loops). RNAcentral also lists the same sequence under 2 other names. The record is from Rfam by way of RNAcentral. Lineage: Eukaryota; Metazoa; Chordata; Mammalia; Artiodactyla; Camelidae.
GAGGGUAUAGCUCAAGUGGCAGAGCACAUACUUAGCAUAUGCAAGUCCUGGGUUCAAUCCCCAGUACCUCCU